Molecule: microRNA, 21 nt
Filed under: Prunus persica (peach)
Lineage: Eukaryota; Viridiplantae; Streptophyta; Magnoliopsida; Rosales; Rosaceae
Description: ppe-miR8129-3p
Source: miRBase by way of RNAcentral
AUAAUAAUGUCCGGAUGUCAA